GUGAGGAAUAUUGCGCAAUGGGCGAAAGCCUGACGCAGCGACGCCGCGUGAGGGACGACGGCCUUCGGGUUGUAAACCUCUGUCAGCAGGGAAGAGAACGGACGGUACCUGCUGAGGAAGCAUCGGCUUACUACGUGCCAGCAGCCGCGGUAAUACGUAGGGGGCGAGCGUUGUCCGGAAUUACUGGGCGUAAAGGGUGCGCAGGCGGUUUUUUAAGUCAGAUGUGAAAUACCCAGGCUUAACUUGGGGGGUGCAUCUGAUACUGGAGGACUUGAGUGCAGGAGAGGAAAGUGGAAUUCCUAGUGUAGCGGUGAAAUGCGUAGAUAUUAGGAGGAACACCAGUGGCGAAGGCGACUUUCUGGACUGUAACUGACGCUGAGGCACGAAAGCGUGGGGAGCAAACAGGAUUAGAUACCCCUGUAGUCC
This 426-nucleotide ribosomal RNA is filed under the name uncultured bacterium. Its description in RNAcentral is "partial 16S ribosomal RNA". It matches the Rfam family "Bacterial small subunit ribosomal RNA", at positions 354 to 796 of the family's 1533-position model. The record is from RNAcentral.